This is a small nucleolar RNA of Aethina tumida (small hive beetle), 83 nucleotides long. RefSeq annotates it as small nucleolar RNA snR60/Z15/Z230/Z193/J17. The record is from RefSeq and is a predicted model, not a curated record. The transcript has a single exon. NCBI's taxonomy places the organism in Eukaryota, Metazoa, Arthropoda, Insecta, Coleoptera, Nitidulidae.
ACAUCAAUCAUGAUGAGAGCAUAGUUCAAAUGAAUACAUUUGAUUACACAAUGCUUGUCUUUCGCUCCUAACUGAAUUAACUG